UACGGAGGGUGCAAGCGUUAUCCGGAUUCACUGGGUUUAAAGGGAGCGUAGGUGGGCUGGUAAGUCAGUGGUGAAAUCCCCGAGCUUAACUUGGGAACUGCCAUUGAUACUAUCAGUCUUGAAUACUGUGGAGGUUAGCGGAAUAUGUCAUGUAGCGGUGAAAUGCUUAGAUAUGACAUAGAACACCAAUUGCGAAGGCAGCUGGCUACACAAUUAUUGACACUGAGGCUCGAAAGCGUGGGGAUCAAACAGG
RNAcentral lists this ribosomal RNA (253 nucleotides) under uncultured bacterium. Its description in RNAcentral is "partial 16S ribosomal RNA". It matches the Rfam family "Bacterial small subunit ribosomal RNA", at positions 524 to 776 of the family's 1533-position model. The record is from RNAcentral.